UGUGUGAUUACGUGGUACUUGAGGAGUUAAACACCCUCCUGUUUGCGUAUUCGUGCUCGUGGGUGUACUUGCCCGUGUGGUAGGUUAACAUCAAUUUCAGGCAUCAUAAAAUGGUUGGAGGAAUGUGGCUUCGACCUCGGUUGAAGUGUUAUAGCCUUCGGCAGAUGUGGUGAUCGGGAUUGAGGAUUGCAACGGAUACCCUUUGGGGCUACCUGUCUGAUCUCUGGUGGUUACUCUGGUGCCGAAAGCUUGCUUACGGUCAUCAAAGUUGACUGCCAAUAGGUUAGAAUGGGAUAAAUUCGUUAAGGAUGUUGACGUA
This 319-nucleotide ribosomal RNA is filed under the name uncultured Glomeromycotina. Its description in RNAcentral is "eukaryotic LSU rRNA". The record is from RNAcentral. Lineage: Eukaryota; Fungi; Glomeromycota.